This 876-nucleotide ribosomal RNA is filed under the name Triticum aestivum (bread wheat). Its description in RNAcentral is "partial small subunit ribosomal RNA". The record is from RNAcentral. Lineage: Eukaryota; Viridiplantae; Streptophyta; Magnoliopsida; Poales; Poaceae.
AUGCCGCAGCCCGGGGUUGAUGGAGGUGAUAAGACCAUGCUCUCGCCUUACACUGCUACGCCGACGGAUGAAUUUGAUAGAUUAGUCUACUGGAAACACAGAAGCCAACCAUAUAUAGUCGUCCUCAAUGCUGCGACGCUGCAGUUAUCUCGAAUCGAUUUGCCGCCACCCUUGAAAGAUAUAGACAACGCACAAUUUAGGCUUGGUCCGACCAAGGAUGGUAAGCUCUCUAUGUUUUUCAUAGAUGAUCAAUUUGCAGACAAAGGAAUGCUCUCUGUUUGGUUUUGGAGAGCCGAUGGUAUUGGUGACGGUGCUGAGAAAUGGGCGCCGCACAAGACUUUCCCACUGGACAAAUUUCUUGAUUUCACCGUGCAUUCAGAAGAGUAUGAUGUCGCAGCGCAGGUUGUGGACGUCAUAGGUGGCUUUUUGUACCUAUGCAUUUAUGAUGGGUCUACCUUGUGCUUCCUAUCCUUCUGCCUGGAAACAGAGAAGGUAAACGAGUUCUUCGAUAAUAGAGUUGACUGCAGUGUCCAGCCCUACAUCAUGGCAUGGCCUCCUUCUUUGGUAUGCAACAAGGAGGAUUCAGAAACCAAAGUUACGAGAGACAGUGUAGUGGAUGAUGAUCAUGUGGGCACAGAAGAAACUCCCUCUGUUAUUCUCACAGCAUUGCAAUCAUAUAAAGAAGCUCUGAUUAAUGGCGAUGGGGCAAAAGUUGCAGAGAUAGAGGCAUUUCUACUUUCUAUCGAGGAUGAGAAGAAUGCUCUUGUGAGAAAAAUCACUACUCUAGAUGCAGAAUUAACAAAUGCGAGAGAUCAUAUCUUGAAGAUAAGUGCCGAAUGCAAUGACCACAGGAGAAGGGCAGAAACAGAUAGGUGA